UCAUUUUCAGGGGGAGAACCUGGC
RNAcentral lists this non-coding RNA (24 nucleotides) under Rattus norvegicus (Norway rat). The record is from RNAcentral. Lineage: Eukaryota; Metazoa; Chordata; Mammalia; Rodentia; Muridae.